Oryctolagus cuniculus (rabbit) is the source of this 705-nucleotide non-coding RNA. NCBI's taxonomy places the organism in Eukaryota, Metazoa, Chordata, Mammalia, Lagomorpha, Leporidae. The record is from the annotation of a RefSeq genome assembly.
AAAGAGCUUGGGAGUCUUCUAAGAGAGACCCUGCCUGUUACUUCUCCCUGCUGUGACUUCAGUCGGGAAGACUCCCUCCAACUCACCUCCCUCGGUCCCUCUUUUUUGAGUAGGAUUAGAGUUAAGAGGAUAUUCUUCUUCCCUUAUCACCUCAUCCCUUCCCUUCUAAGGCCUGAGAGAAGAAGGCAUGCUGUGGACACUCUCCCUACUUGUAGCUUUCCUGCCUCCUGGCAGUCAAACAUCUUCCAACUCAGAGAAGACUAUGACAGUGGUCACCAAGCCGACUGGGUCAUCUGUUGCAGUCACUUGUAGUAUUCCUCAACAAAGUGGCUACAUCCACUGGUACCGGUUCCAGGAGGGGAAGGCCCCACAGCGCCUUCUCUACUACGUCGUCAGCAGUUCCAGUUCUACAGUGGAUUCGGGAUUUGAUGCAUGGAAAUACCAAGCUUCUAAAAGCACACAGGGCAGCUAUAAUGUCUUUCUACGAAACCUGGGAAGAGACGACUCUGGGGUGUAUUACUGUGCUGUCUGGACUGGCACAGUGAUUCCGACCUGCCCUAUACUACACUGAAAAUUGUGCCUGUGGUUAUUCCUGGUACUCGAGAUAGGCCAGCCCCAUCUCAUUUCCUGUUUCUGACUCUGCGCUGAGCAAAGAUAAACUCGGAGCCCAACACCAAACCCCAGAGCUCACAUCCCACCACCUUC